RNAcentral lists this long non-coding RNA (541 nucleotides) under Pan troglodytes (chimpanzee). RNAcentral describes it as "lincRNA". The record is from RNAcentral. Lineage: Eukaryota; Metazoa; Chordata; Mammalia; Primates; Hominidae.
GAGAUCCUGCUUUCUCUUCAGAAUGCCAUCUCUAGGAUGCCAAUGGGCUGUGUCUACAGUACUAUGUAGGAAAGUGCUGCAAGAGGUACUUGCACUGGGACUACUAAAAGAAACAACUUUACCCAUGGAGAAUGCAGAAAAGCAAGGCAGGAUGGUGGCCCACCCUGGAAGGACAUGGAGCCAAGGGAGCCUCCCCCAUCCAGGGAGGUGGUGAGUGAAUGCUGUGGCCCUGGGAACCCACGCUUCUCCCAUGGGUCUUCGUACCCUUGGGUCAGGAGAUCCCCUCGUGGACCCACUCCACCAGGGCCUUCAGUCUGACACACAGAACUCUGUGGAGUCUCGUCAGAGCAGCCAUUGAGUUUGCUGAGAAUGAUGGUUUCCAGCUUCAUCCAUGUCCCUGCAAAAGACAUGAACUCAUCAUUUUUUAUGGCUCCACAGUAUUCUAUGGCUGAUGGAAUGAUGAAGGCUCUAAUCAUUGGAAGGACACCUGCUCAUCAUAGACAGAUAUUUGAAGAAGGCAAGGGCCUCUGAUUAACUUUGA